CUUUCAAGUCAUGGUGAUUGUGAUAAUGAUUGUAAAGUCCGUUCAGAGCAACGGUCUUUGUACUAUAUGUGUCUUUUUCUGUGUGACUUUUAUCUUUCAUUAUUAUAUAAAUGUGAUGUAUGUUAUGUUCACAAAGUGAAUACUUCAAAAUGAGGAGGACAUGCUACAACAAAGCAGACUGGGUGAAUGUGAGACUUCGAGGAGGAGUACUGACACAUCCAUUUCAACGGGAUGGUUCUAGCUGCGGAGUAAUGGUCAUCAUGGUAUGGUACAACAUUAACGCAAUAAUAUUUUUCUGUGAAAUUAGAUAAGAAGAUGGGGUGGGGGAAGUUAAAAUAAUCUUAAAAGGUUAAAUUGUGUAAACAGGAAGUGUAACAUUUGCAGAUGUUUUCAAUUAAUUGUUUUUGUUGUUUUUUUUUAAUUUCAGAUGGCCAAAGAAGUAAUGGAAGCCAUCCAUCCGCUUCCGCUUAUCCUUUUUCAGGGUCGCGGGGGGCACUGGAGCCUAUCCCAGCUGUCAUGGGGCGAGAGGCGGGGUACACCCUGGACAGGUCGCCAGUCUGUCGCAGGGCUAACACACAGAGACAGACAACCAUUCGCAUUCACAUUCACUCGCACAUUCACACCAGUAAUGGAAGCAUUCCCAAAUAAACCAGAAAUGACAUUUUUGACGACCAAAAAAGAGAUGGCCCAGGCACGAAGGACAUUUGCACAGACAAUACUUGAGGCCUCCGUAUUUGACAGUGACAACAACUGUGCCAUGUGUGCAACGGUGAAACCACCUAAUCCAGGACCCUCCAUCACUGACUGGAUCCAGUGUGAUAAUUGCAACCGCUGGUUCCAUUCUGAAUGCCUGGACAUGACAAAUGAACAGCUCAGCAGUGCUCAGAAGACAGAGUGGAAGUGUGUGCUUUGUGUAACCUAAUUCCACAUGCGGUGAAAGCUACUUGAAUAUCUGCUUAUAGUUGUUAUUGGUGUUUUGAGGAACACAUGUGUAAAACACAAUGUGUAUAACAUUCUUGCUUUGUGCACGUACCUCAAGUAUUUCCUUUUUGAUUUUUUGGGUUGAUUUGUGUGAUGACAGAUAAUGAAUAACAAUAUAU
Long non-coding RNA from Astatotilapia calliptera (eastern happy), 1100 nucleotides. The record is from Ensembl. Lineage: Eukaryota; Metazoa; Chordata; Actinopteri; Cichliformes; Cichlidae.